UUGAGUAUUCCAACAGGAGAUAGAUAAUAGGGGUUAUGCCAGCUGAUAUCCCUUUGUGCCGCAAAAAUCUCGUUCAUUAGAUGGUUCUCAUGAUCAGCGAGACGGUCCACAAACUUCCUUUGUAGAGCUAGAGCAUACUUGCAAAAUGGAGUCACAGAAGCAGUCUCAUAGAUGAAUGAGUUGGAAAAUCUUUCCAAGUUCUAUCUCUUUCGCAACCGUUGGAGAUAUG
Long non-coding RNA from Lucilia sericata (common green bottle fly), 229 nucleotides. RefSeq lists it as uncharacterized. The transcript has 2 exons. NCBI's taxonomy places the organism in Eukaryota, Metazoa, Arthropoda, Insecta, Diptera, Calliphoridae. The record is from RefSeq and is a predicted model, not a curated record.